CUCUUCCAUCUCUACAUAUGUGUUGCAGAGUGAAGGACAGACACUAAAUCACUGACAUACACACUGUAGACUGGACAGAGACAACUGGCUUUCACAAUGAUCAGACCUGAUUAUCUGGUGGUUUUUCUCAUCCUGUCAAUUAACUCUGCAGGUACUGAGGGUCAAACACUGACUGAGUCUGAACCAGUGGUUAAAAAGCCUGGAGAGUCCCACAGACUGACCUGCACAUAUUCAGGGUUUAGUGGUCAUAUUGAUACUGCUUGGAUCAGACAGGCUGCUGGAAAAGGAAUGGAGUGGAUCGCUUAUAUCAGCAGUGGCAGUCGCUACAUCUACUACUCUGAGUCAGUGAAAGGCCGGUUCACCAUCUCCAGAGACAACAACAGACAGCAGGUGUAUCUGCAGAUGAGCAGUCUGACGGCUGUAGACUCUGCUGUUUAUUACUGUGCUCGAGAGACACAGUUGACACAGAAAGGAGAAAUGCUGUACAAAAACUCAACAAGUUCAAAUACAAAUUCAAAAAUUUGUGUUCUGCUUCUCACAAUCACAAAAAGGCUUGAGAUCAACAUCAUCAAGACACUGAAAUAA
Non-coding RNA from Trematomus bernacchii (emerald rockcod), 585 nucleotides. NCBI's taxonomy places the organism in Eukaryota, Metazoa, Chordata, Actinopteri, Perciformes, Nototheniidae. The record is from the annotation of a RefSeq genome assembly.